UCGGAUCCGUUGAAUCAAGAGCCCCGACUCAGGAUGCCGUGCUACGCCAUCAAUCAGUCACAGCCAGCCAUGGCGCCGCCGCCGCAGCACGACCCCCGCCGGCUCUACAAGCGCGCCGCCAUCUCUGACCAGCAGCGCCACCGCGACUCCGCCCUCCGAACCCAGUCCGCCCGGCGCGCGCCCGCAGCCUCGCCAACUCCCUACUGUCUCCCCCAUCCGCCGACCAAUCGACACCCUCCCCCGAGGCAGAGGCCCACGGCGACUAGCCCGCCGUCGCCGACGUAGCCACGGCCAGAAAAUGCUGUCCAAGUGGAUGGUCGACGCCCCUCCCCACCUCGCCCACGACUGGCAUGUUUCUGCCAGGGCUGACGGCAAUUGAUGCCUGGCCGUGUCACCGAACGGCAUCGAUCAGCAGGCUCCGUAAUGGGACCAUUCUUUAUUGGUUCCCUUCGGAGCUUCCCAACUGAUCAAAGAGGGUGAUCUCUGGCCCAGCAAGAUCCUACUGUAAGCGCGACUGAAUAUUCCACGACCUGACGAGGCGUACUACAUCGUUGAUAUGAUUUGUUGGUGAGGCUAUUUGUUGUAUGAUUGCACCGCCGAGUUUAGGAUUUUCUGGGUGAACUAGAAGCUCACCGAGAUUUCUGCUGGUGAUCCUCCGUCGGCGUACCAUCGGUAUAGAUUUAGUGCCUUCCCUAUGUACGAGUCUACACUCGAGGGUCUUGAAGCAGCGUUCUCAGGAAUCACACCUUAUGUCAAGGAUGGUUUGCUGUUUUACAACAAGCAUGCGCACUAUCAAUCUGGAAUCACGCCCCUGACAUUGGUAUGGAAAGAUGUGGCUUGCAGCCAGUAUGUUCUUGAUACAGAUAGUGAGGGACACGUCCCAAUCGAGCAGCAUGUUGUUCUUGAGCUGCAAGAGAAUGGAAAACUAAUUGCUUCUGAUGACCCUCCAAUUGUAUUCAGUACAGCGAAUUUAUACGGAAGGGAACCUUCUCCACUUCAGUUUAAGAGAUAAAAGCAUGAAACUUGUAGAUGGGAAGAUAGAGACUGGUGAGCUGCAGUUUGCCGGGAAGCUGAACCGCACGUGUACUUUUGCUGAUAGCCAUUCCAAAGUUCUGUUCCAGUAUGCUGCCAGGCAUGCUCCCCUCAGAAUCAAGGACCUUGUAGCCUCUGUUCAAUCAAACAGCAUGGAGGUUGAAUCCACAGAUGCUGAACUGCAAGAUUAAGUCAUGCAAGUUUGAUUUUGGCGUUUGACUGGACAACAUGCUAGGAUGAAACUGUUGCAAGGGAGUCCAAGGGGUAUGCCAGCCAUGGCAUUCAGAUGGAGAGCUGUGCAAACGAUGUGAUGGUCCAAAAGAUGUGGUCUCAAAGACAAGCGUGUUUCCAAACCUUAUAGAGCAGCUCGAGACCUUUUUUUCGAGGACACCACAGGAGCUCCACAUAUCAAUAUAUUAAGAUAAAGAGAAUGUAAUUUACAAGAUUUUUGCCAGCGCCAUGAAGGCCUAUGUCCCACUGAUGACUCCACAGACGGAGCAUCAGGGCUCAGUCCACUCUACGUACCCUAUUACAAUUAUGGUACAGUAUAUAUAAUAACUGUUGCAAUUCCACGAAGAUCCGCUGUUUUCCACUCCUUUAGGUUGUUCUUCAAUGUCUCCGCCACCUCCUCUGUGGUAGAUGUAGAGCUCUUGUCCUUGAAGAUGUGCUUGUUCGUCUUGCGCCAAAUUGCUCGGAAGAUGCAUAGGGCUGUGCGCCUGUGCCGUUGAAGUCUGCUCACAUUCUUGAAGGAAUUAGCGGCUGAAUGCGUUGCCACCAGGGGCGGAUCGAGUCCGUGGCUGUUGGAAACGUGCUGCUGCUGUCUCUGGUCUCUACUGUGGUUGAGGUGGUGAACAUCCCUUGUGCCUCUAGCGACACAACCUCAAAUCUGUGAAACCAAAAUGUAUGAUGAGUGUGAAAGACGAGCUUUGGCAUGUAAUUCUUGUAUAAAAUGGAUAUGCGAUGCAACUCGUCUUUGUGAAGUGAUGUUUGUUUUUU
Molecule: non-coding RNA, 2028 nt
Organism: Lolium perenne
Lineage: Eukaryota; Viridiplantae; Streptophyta; Magnoliopsida; Poales; Poaceae
Source: RefSeq, a predicted model, not a curated record